Molecule: long non-coding RNA, 255 nt
Filed under: Vicia faba (fava bean)
Lineage: Eukaryota; Viridiplantae; Streptophyta; Magnoliopsida; Fabales; Fabaceae
Source: RNAcentral
AUGUUUGAAGGGUGCGCUGUAGCUGAAGGCGUUACACUAGGCAAAGCACCUUGCAAGGAUGACAUAGAAGGAAAUGUUGGGCUUUGGAGAGAGGGAAUGGUUGUGAGGUGGAGAGGAGGCAGCAGUGGUGUCUCACGAAGGUUGUUUGAAGGUGGUGAUGACCGAAGGAAAAAUUUAACCAUUCUGGGUAAUGUUUGGAGCAGUUUAUUCUGGACAGCAAGCAAACUACAGUUUUGGGCAUUAUUUUUGGACUGA